ACACUAGUCUAAUAUAAAACUAAAGUUUUGGUUAUGUUUGAUUUUCAAAAAAAAGGGAAAGGGGAAGGCAUCAAAACUAAAAGUUUUGGUUAUAUAUGAUUUUCAGAAAAAGGGAAAGAGGAAGUUACCGGCUGAGAAGCUUAGCAAGCUGGAGACUCGUAAAGAGAAGAAGGCCAAAAAGGACCCAUACAAACCCAAAAGAGCUCCUACUGCCUUCUUUGUCUUCCUGUAAGUAUUCUUGGAUGCAUGCUUGUUGAACUUUCUACAAAACAUUCCAUGGUAUACUGUUUUUAUUUCCUGUUCUAAAGUUGAACUUGUUGGUUUAUUUGUUCCAGGGAAGAUUUUAGGAAAACUUUCAAGAAAGAAAUCCAAAUUGUUGUCUCUGCUGUAAGCAUUUGUCAGAUUCCUUGAAAGCAUUACAUGUAUUUAGUUAGUCCUUUACAUGAUGAAGCCCUCAUAGUUCUGUUCUACCUUCCCUUUCCCUUGUGAAGGUUGGGAAAGCUGGAGGGCAGAAAUGGAAGUCAAUGUCACGUGUAACUUUCGUCUUUGAUAUUGUGAUGGAAAGACUUGCUUUCUAGAUCUUUUUGUUCAUGAAAAUAGUUACCUUUCUAUGUAGAAAGGAUGGUUCUGUAGUCACCUGCCAGGACAAAAAGUAGAAUCCUGCUUUGUUUGUCAUAAAACCACCUUCUAUAGAUGACUAGAGAAAACUUAUGUUUUUGUUUCUACCAGAGAGCUUAAGCAAACUAAUUUAAUCCGUGGUUGCAUAUACUGCCAGAAAGUUAUAACAACUCUGGUUACUUUAUAUAGUUAAGUAAUAUUGUAGUCUUUGGACCUCCAAAAAUAUCACUGUGAUCUUUGAAUCAAAAAGUGUCUUGAUUGUGACACUGACAUAAGUUUUCACCUCUUUCUUUGAAGGAAAAGCUCCAUAUGAGAAAGCUGCAAAGAGGAAAGCUGAAUAUGAAAAGUAUACAACAAAAACAACGUAAGUCCUAAGCCCUAUGUGGUGCAUAGACACAUACUUGUGUGUCUAACAAUGAAUAUCCUUGCAAUGGGGGCAGGAAGAAGGUAUUGAUGAAUCUGAAAAGCCUAUACCCGAGGUGAAUGAUGAAGAUGAAGCUAGUGAGGAGGAAGAGCAGCUAGAGAAGGACAACUGUAGAUCGAAAUGGUGUGUGUUUUUUCUCCUUUUUCCUAAGAAAGCGAAACAGUUCUUA
Brassica napus (rape) is the source of this 1211-nucleotide long non-coding RNA. RefSeq lists it as uncharacterized. The transcript is spliced from 2 exons. The record is from RefSeq and is a predicted model, not a curated record. Lineage: Eukaryota; Viridiplantae; Streptophyta; Magnoliopsida; Brassicales; Brassicaceae.